This 80-nucleotide ribosomal RNA is filed under the name Staphylococcus aureus. Its description in RNAcentral is "partial 16S ribosomal RNA". It matches the Rfam family "Bacterial small subunit ribosomal RNA", at positions 1454 to 1533 of the family's 1533-position model. The record is from RNAcentral. Lineage: Bacteria; Bacillati; Bacillota; Bacilli; Caryophanales; Staphylococcaceae. RNAcentral also lists the same sequence under 3 other names.
CGUCGAAGGUGGGACAAAUGAUUGGGGUGAAGUCGUAACAAGGUAGCCGUAUCGGAAGGUGCGGCUGGAUCACCUCCUUU